RNAcentral lists this ribosomal RNA (253 nucleotides) under uncultured bacterium. RNAcentral's name for it is "partial 16S ribosomal RNA". It matches the Rfam family "Bacterial small subunit ribosomal RNA", at positions 524 to 776 of the family's 1533-position model. The record is from RNAcentral.
UACGAAGGGUGCUAGCGUUGUUCGGAAUCACUGGGCGUAAAGCGCGCGUAGGCGGCUUUCCAAGUCAGGGGUGAAAUCCCGGGGCUCAACCCCGGAAUUGCCUUUGAAACUGGAAAGCUUGAGUGUCGGAGGGGAUAGCGGAAUUGCUAAUGUAGAGGUGAAAUUCGUAGAUAUUAGCAGGAACACCGGUGGCGAAGGCGGCUAUCUGGACGACAACUGACGCUGAGGCGCGAAAGCGUGGGGAUCAAACAGG